UGCAGUCGAGCGAAUGGAUUAAGAGCUUGCUCUUAUGAAGUUAGCGGCGGACGGGUGAGUAACACGUGGGUAACCUGCCCAUAAGACUGGGAUAACUCCGGGAAACCGGGGCUAAUACCGGAUAACAUUUUGAACCGCAUGGUUCGAAAUUGAAAGGCGGCUUCGGCUGUCACUUAUGGAUGGACCCGCGUCGCAUUAGCUAGUUGGUGAGGUAACGGCUCACCAAGGCAACGAUGCGUAGCCGACCUGAGAGGGUGAUCGGCCACACUGGGACUGAGACACGGCCCAGACUCCUACGGGAGGCAGCAGUAGGGAAUCUUCCGCAAUGGACGAAAGUCUGACGGAGCAACGCCGCGUGAGUGAUGAAGGCUUUCGGGUCGUAAAACUCUGUUGUUAGGGAAGAACAAGUGCUAGUUGAAUAAGCUGGCACCUUGACGGUACCUAACCAGAAAGCCACGGCUAACUACGUGCCAGCAGCCGCGGUAAUACGUAGGUGGCAAGCGUUAUCCGGAAUUAUUGGGCGUAAAGCGCGCGCAGGUGGUUUCUUAAGUCUGAUGUGAAAGCCCACGGCUCAACCGUGGAGGGUCAUUGGAAACUGGGAGACUUGAGUGCAGAAGAGGAAAGUGGAAUUCCAUGUGUAGCGGUGAAAUGCGUAGAGAUAUGGAGGAACACCAGUGGCGAAGGCGACUUUCUGGUCUGUAACUGACACUGAGGCGCGAAAGCGUGGGGA
Molecule: ribosomal RNA, 730 nt
Filed under: Bacillus thuringiensis
Lineage: Bacteria; Bacillati; Bacillota; Bacilli; Caryophanales; Bacillaceae
Description: bacterial SSU rRNA
Rfam family: Bacterial small subunit ribosomal RNA
Source: RNAcentral